Molecule: transfer RNA, 74 nt
Filed under: Candidatus Melainabacteria bacterium GWA2_34_9
Lineage: Bacteria; Bacillati; Candidatus Melainabacteria
Description: tRNA-Arg
Rfam family: tRNA
About the family: Transfer RNA (tRNA) molecules are approximately 80 nucleotides in length. Their secondary structure includes four short double-helical elements and three loops (D, anti-codon, and T loops). Further hydrogen bonds mediate the characteristic L-shaped molecular structure. tRNAs have two regions of fundamental functional importance: the anti-codon, which is responsible for specific mRNA codon recognition, and the 3' end, to which the tRNAs corresponding amino acid is attached (by aminoacyl-tRNA synthetases). tRNAs cope with the degeneracy of the genetic code in two manners: having more than one tRNA (with a specific anti-codon) for a particular amino acid; and 'wobble' base-pairing, i.e. permitting non-standard base-pairing at the 3rd anti-codon position.
Source: RNAcentral
GUCCACGUAGUUCAGCAGGAUAGAACGCCAUCCUCCUAAGAUGGAUGUCGGGGGUUCGAAUCCCUCCGUGGACA